GGGUGUGAGGGUGAUCUGGCUGUGAUAUCUGUCACCCCCUCCAUCACCAGGGUUGAUUUGGAUGAUCUGGCUGGCUUGGUGUGUGUCCCCUUCCUCCCUCACGGCUCCAUGUGUGCCCCUCCCUAAGCUGUGUGCUCUGUCAAAGAGAAUGACCUUCCCCGAUAGAGAGGACCAGUCUUCGGUCAAGGGUAUACAAGUAGCUGUGCUCCCCUGCUAGAACCUCCAAACAAGCUCUCAAGAUGGUAGAUGUUAUUUAUUUAAAAAAUCUACUGUGCUUUUGGGAAAAUGGAAUUGGGU
Molecule: small nuclear RNA, 297 nt
Filed under: Microcebus murinus (gray mouse lemur)
Lineage: Eukaryota; Metazoa; Chordata; Mammalia; Primates; Cheirogaleidae
Description: 7SK RNA (ENSMICG00000028068.2)
Rfam family: 7SK RNA
About the family: 7SK was discovered as an abundant small nuclear RNA in the mid-70s but a possible function has only recently been suggested.
Source: Rfam by way of RNAcentral